CCUACGGGGGGCAGCAGUGGGGAAUAUUGCACAAUGGGGGAAACCCUGAUGCAGCGACGCCGCGUGAGUGAAGAAGUAUUUCGGUACGUAAAGCUCUAUCAGCAGGGAAGAAAAUGACGGUACCUGACUAAGAAGCCCCGGCUAACUACGUGCCAGCAGCCGCGGUAAUACGUAGGGGGCAACCGUUAUCCGGAUUUACUGGGUGUAAAGGGAGCGUAGACGGCAGCGCAAGUCUGGAGUGAAAUCCCAUGGCUUAACCAUGGAACUGCUUUGGAAACUGUGCAGCUAGAGUGCAGGAGAGGUAAGCGGAAUUCCGAGUGUAGCGGUGAAAUGCGUAGAUAUUAGGAGGAACACCAGUGGCGAAGGCGGCUUACUGGACUGUAACUGACGUUGAGGCUCGAAAGCGUGGGGAGCAAACAGGAUUAGAUACCCUUGUAGUC
Molecule: ribosomal RNA, 440 nt
Filed under: uncultured bacterium
Lineage: Bacteria
Description: partial 16S ribosomal RNA
Rfam family: Bacterial small subunit ribosomal RNA
Source: RNAcentral